This is a small nuclear RNA of Pan troglodytes (chimpanzee), 106 nucleotides long. Lineage: Eukaryota; Metazoa; Chordata; Mammalia; Primates; Hominidae. The record is from Ensembl.
GUGCUCGCUUCAGCAGCACAUAUACUAAAAUUGGAAUGUUACAGAGAAGAUAACAUGGCCCCCACACAAGGAUGACACACAAAUUCGUGAAGCGUUCCAUAUUUUU